CCCAACUUGAAUAGCCUUAUCAAGUUUUUAUUUUGUACGACCCUGACAGUUUAGUGUUUACAUUGUGUAUUUAUUGACGUUUCGAUAAUCGAAUUAACCGAUCGCUAUAAUAAAGGUGCUACUAUAUGGCCGUUGGGAACCGAGAAAAAGGGAUUAUGCAAAUAAAAUAUGGUUGCAUACACAUAAAUGCUGUUUUGAAAGCGACAGACAGAGAGACGGUUCUCGUCCUGCUCGUAAAACAAACGUGCGAAAACAGUUAAGAGAAUGACACAUGGCAGAUGGUUUCGACAAUUUAUAUGUACGCAUUGCGGAGAGAGGAAAAUCUCUCGCUUUAGUGAAAUGCACACAUAGAGGAGAGAGAUGGUCCUGUUGUGUACCAGUUAAGACAGUCCACUAGGAGAGGAACAUGUAAAUAAAUGUAUGUUUAUUUAAUCGCAUUGGAACCUGACCAAAAAAGGGGUGUCGUAAUGUACUUUGUGCCGUUGAGGUGAAUGCCUCGAAACGUGUGAAAAGGAAGGGACAAAGGGAGAAAAAAAUGUUUUCUUGGUUCUCAGGCGAUUUCCAGACGACCGGGCGCAAUAGGGCUGAACUUGUUUUAAAGGGCUAUACGAAGAGACGCGCCAUAUUGUCGGCGCUUUAUACAUGGUGUUCCAACUAAAAUCGUAAUCGCGGCCAUUUAUUCUUACUUUUUGGAAAAAUUUUUUUUUUCGAUUUAAGAAAAAAAAUUACCUGGAACUGAUAAAGAUUUAAUUUUUAAGAAAAUCUACUGUUAUCACAAAAUACAA
Molecule: long non-coding RNA, 785 nt
Organism: Leptopilina heterotoma
Lineage: Eukaryota; Metazoa; Arthropoda; Insecta; Hymenoptera; Figitidae
Exons: 3
Source: RefSeq, a predicted model, not a curated record